CAGAUCACUUGAGGUCAGGAGUUCAAGACCAGCCUGGCCAACAGUGAAACCCCAUCUCUACUGAAAAUGCAAAAGUUAGCCAGGCAUGGUGGUGGGCACCUGUAAUCCUAGCUACUCAGGAGGCUGAGGCGGGAGGAUUGCUUGAACCUAGGAGGUGGAGGUUGCAGUGAGCUGAGAUUGCACCACUGCACUCCAGCCUGGGCAACAGAGCAAGACUCUGUCUCAAAAAAGAAAAAAAAAAAGAUAAAGAAAAAAAAAUAGGUUCAUUUAAAGAAAAAUGUUAAGAAGAAAAGGACACAAGUGGCAUUUUUAGAUAGGACAAGAAUCAGGGAGGUAUUGGAAUGACUGAGGUUUGGAAAACACUGAACAAGAUGAUCACGAAGUUCCCCGCCUCCCAGGUCUGAGAACCUGAAUAUGGAUUAACCUAUAAUGCCAAGCCAACAGGUUUAAAAGGAGAGUUAACCAGUGUUAGAUGUUAAAGGCACCCUAACACCAAAUCCAGAUCUUUCUCUCACAUUUGUUCUGUGGAACUGACAAUACUCUAGCCACUCCUGGUCAGUUAGGUUUGCUUACUCUGUCCUCUUGAAGAUUCACAGUGUAUAUCACUAUUAGGGAUUAAAUACUUUAACAAUAAAGAAACUUAUUGUAUUCUCAUUUAACUCUGCAUUCUCAAAACAUAUUGCCUGCAAAACCUUUAUUUAGAAACAGCUAUUAACAUUCCAGGGAACUAGUUUUCUGCAGGACACACUUUAGGACACCAGUUUUCUUCAGGACACACUGGUCUAUAUAAUAAGCCUUUAUGUUCAUCUAGUUUACAUUUUGUAUCCAUUAUCUCAUUGACCUUGUAACAUGCAGCCAGAUGGGUGAUAAUGACAGUAGUUCCAUUACCCAAGCAUUUACCCUGUGCCUCCUGUUGUACCAAGCACUCUUUACAUCUGUGAUUUCAUUUAAUCAUCACAACAGCACUGCAAGGAAGGUCCUUAUCUCUGACAGCUGAGGAAGCAGGCUCAAAGAGGGGGAAAAGGGCUCAAAGACUUGCCGUAAGUCACACAGCUGGAAAACAGCCCAGCUGGGAUUUAAACUCAGGUUGAUCUGAUUCCAAAGCCUGUGCUCUUCACCCCCACAAGUUGAGUGGGGAAUUAGGGUCCCCAUUGUACACAGGAGGUGCCUUGCUUCUCCAGACACAGGCCGGGGCAUACUUGGCCAUCCUGCUCUAUCUUGUCAUCCCUUCCCAUCCAGGUACCCACAGUCACCCCCAUUCCUCUCAGCCUCUGAACUAUUCCUUGGUGUCCCCUUCCAGUGUAUGAACCCAGAGUUCUGAGACCUUUGCCACUUCAGACUUCAUCAUUGGCCACACGUGGUGGUGCACAGCUGUAGUCCUAGCUACUUGGGAGGCUGAGGUGGGAGGAUAGCUUGAGCCCAGUUGGAGGUUGUAGUGAGUUAUGACUGCACCACUGCACUCCAGCCUGAGUGACAGAACGAGACCCUGUCUCAAAAUUUUUUU
Molecule: long non-coding RNA, 1504 nt
Filed under: Homo sapiens (human)
Lineage: Eukaryota; Metazoa; Chordata; Mammalia; Primates; Hominidae
Description: HSALNT0267835
Source: RNAcentral